AUUGAACGCUGGCGGAAUGCUUUACACAUGCAAGUCGAACGGCAGCACGGACUUCGGUCUGGUGGCGAGUGGCGAACGGGUGAGUAAUGUAUCGGAACGUGCCCAGUCGUGGGGGAUAACGUAGUGAAAAUUACGCUAAUACCGCAUACGAUCUAUGGAUGAAAGCGGGGGAUCGCAAGACCUCGCGCGAUUGGAGCGGCCGAUAUCAGAUUAGGUAGUUGGUGGGGUAAAGGCCCACCAAGCCAACGAUCUGUAGCUGGUCAGAGAGGACGACCAGCCACACUGGAACUGAGACACGGUCCAGACUCCUACGGGAGGCAGCAGUGGGGAAUUUUGGACAAUGGGCGAAAGCAUGAUCCAGCCAUUCCGCGUGCGGGAUGAAGGCCCUCGGGUUGUAAACUGCUUUUGUACGGAACGAAAAGGUUUCUACUAAUACUAGGAGCUCAUGACGGUACUGUAAGAAUAAGCACCGGCUAACUACGUGCCAGCCGCCGCCGUAA
RNAcentral lists this ribosomal RNA (500 nucleotides) under uncultured bacterium. RNAcentral describes it as "partial 16S ribosomal RNA". It matches the Rfam family "Bacterial small subunit ribosomal RNA", at positions 30 to 523 of the family's 1533-position model. The record is from RNAcentral.